GCUUCACUGGGAAUUGCAUUCCCCCUGUCAGCACAGCCCGGCCUGGCUGGGGACCAGGGCAGGCUGGAGUCUGAGGGUCAGGAAUCUGAAUUGUACAGAUCUCACCAACUUCCAGGCUGCUGUUCUAUAAAUUCACCAUCUGAGUGAGAAUGGAGCCACCUUGGAGGGGCUGCAGAGAGGUGGCAGAGCGGGGGAGAGGUGGGAAGGCUGAGGAGCUGCAAGGGAAGGCUCAGGCUGCAGGAGAGCAGCCAACACAGCCAGAGCUGGAGGUGCCUGGGCCAGGGGCCAGCUCGGGGCUCCCGAGGUGCCUUGGCCCCGCUGUCCUGCUCUGCUCCAGCUGUGUUACAGCUGCAGUGUCCCCAGCACUGCUCUGUCCCCCGGCCCUGCUGCUGCUCCAGCUGCAGCCCGACCUUCUGGCAGGAGCUGCACCAAUUGCAAAUUCCUUGGUUUGCUCAUCAGCCAAGCCCUCCCCUCCCUGGGAUGAAUAAAUCCUGGCUUUUCUGCAGCUUUAUCAGCCAGGAACAACUGAGAACAGCUACAUGGAUCCACCUGACCAUAACCCUUAAAAAUACAGCAAUAAAUAAAUCAAUAUGCACUGUUGGA
Molecule: long non-coding RNA, 603 nt
Organism: Passer montanus (Eurasian tree sparrow)
Lineage: Eukaryota; Metazoa; Chordata; Aves; Passeriformes; Passeridae
Exons: 3
Source: RefSeq, a predicted model, not a curated record